GUUUGCUCAAGACACGUAAGGAAUAGCAGUGAAACCAAAGAACAGCGGAGCCAGAGGGCAAACUCCUCACAGUGCUCAUUUAGGGAGUCACUGUCUUAUCCUGGUUGAGGAGUGCAAGGUCAGAGGGAAACGCAGGGUGCCAACCAGACGCAGGUCUGAUAAGGAUGAGACACACCAAGCACCAUGCAACACUCACGCUUUGUUCCUCAUGUUUGCCUUAAUGUCAGCAGACCACACGUUGCAUGUGAUUGGAUCUCGUAUUGCGGCGGGAGGACCUGCUCCUCCUCCACGACAGC
Long non-coding RNA from Gasterosteus aculeatus aculeatus (three-spined stickleback), 296 nucleotides. Lineage: Eukaryota; Metazoa; Chordata; Actinopteri; Perciformes; Gasterosteidae. The record is from Ensembl.